Long non-coding RNA from Oncorhynchus kisutch (coho salmon), 4822 nucleotides. NCBI's taxonomy places the organism in Eukaryota, Metazoa, Chordata, Actinopteri, Salmoniformes, Salmonidae. The record is from Ensembl.
GCCAGAGCCACAGACACCUGUAGUCCCACAUGGAGGAAUCCUGUUGUGGAGGACCAUAAAGAAAAGACUGCUGUCCAAACUCCAGUGCCCUGUAUCCUUGGCAUGGGUCAGGCCCAGUGGUGAUUUUAGAUUACCCAUCCAUGACUGGAUAGCUCUUCAGAGGACACAUGAACGUUUAAUUAUGGAAGGUAGGCAUACCCUUUUUUCACAUGAUAACUUUAAAAGCAUCACUCUUUCCUUUUUUCUAAACUUUACAUUUGUAUUACAGCUGGGCAGUUGGCAGAACCCACCAGGUAUGGAAUAGAUACAACAAUCAUAGUGCUACACAGUUUGCUUGAUUUGGAAUGUUAUUUCAAAUGUCUUUAUUUCUAUAUAGUAUCUGAUUAAUCAGAAUAUGUCACUGUCAAAAAAUCUGAUAUUGUAUCCAAAACAGAAUGGAUUAAAGACUAUGUAUAUUUCUGUGUUUCUACAUUUUCCAGCACUGAUGAUAUGAUUAACCUGAAUUACCUAUUGGCUGGGGGAAGCUAUGGUGCAUACCAGUUCAGCAAUACUUGUGUUAUAGACUCCAUUUUGGCUGGAAUUCAUGUUCUUGCCAAAAUGUAUCCCCAAAUUCGAGAUUUGUUCACGAGGGAUAACAAAAUCAAUGCGGUUAUACGUUUCCUAGACUUCGCCAAGGUCAAUGAGGCAAAGGCACUGUGGCUUAUUAACUUGAGCCUUCGUAAGGAAAAAAACCUCAUGCAAAAUGAAUUUGUAGAUAUCAGAGGUUAUGUUAGAGACCACUUGUCAAACUUCAUUGAGCUGGUAUGUGCCAGCUUCGACUAUGAUGACUCGCAAUCAAGCUCCACACCAUGUGACACAGUUCUCAACAACAUAUUGAGGAAGUUUGAGGAUUACGGUGAGGUAAAACCCUUAGGCACUUCUCGUCAUGAACCCAAACUCAUCCUGGUAGACAUUGAUGACCGGAUGUGUAUCCUACCUCCCCUCUCCAUCACGGAUGAUUAUGAAAGGACAUACGAGCUCCAGUUCCUGCUGAUGGGACAGAGUACACCCCUGUCCAACCACAUGGUCCUGUUCCUGUGCACUCAACUGACUGGCAGAUGGAUGAUCUAUGACAACAUGAAAACACCCCUGGUCCAGGACAUUGGUGUGAGUGAACUACAGAGAGCUACAGAGAGGGACAAGUAUGUUUCCUAUCUUGCUGCUUAUGUGAAGAAAGAAUAAUAAUAAGGCUGCUUCGGGAGUCAAGGGCAUCCUCUUUAGAUUUUAGUUCUGUAUUUCCGAGAUCCUGUCCCAACUACAACUAUUAGCAUUAUAAAAAAAUCCCCAUAAAAUUCUGUCAAUUUAAGAUAGAGAUGUUUUUUUGCAUUGGAUGCAUCUCAAUCCACCGCAUACGCCAAUGUCACUCUUCUGCAUCGGUGGUAAAAGGUGACGGAGCUUAAGCCAUGUUUGUCAGACCAUGAGACAUCCCGAAAAUCGGUCUUUUCACAAAAUCGUCUGUAGUGUUUGAACAGUUUAGCCUAUAAAACUAUUAUAACCCCUCUAUUGAAAGAUGAGACUCUCGCGAACACAAUGGUAUUUGCUGUUUGGGACACGUCUGAAGUCGGUACAGCCGAUCUGCCAACAUCUGUCUGUAGUGUCCGAACAGUUUGGAGUACACACUAAUGCUUCUCUGUGGAAAGGUGACAUGCCUCACAAGACUCCUCUGAAGGUGUCCCGGUACCAGUUGAAAAAAUGAGUACAAGUACAAUACCGUUCAAAAGUUUGGGGUCACUUAGACAUUUCCAUGUUUUUGAAAGAAACUUUUUGUCCAUUAAAAUAACAUCAGAUUGAUCAGAAAUACAGUGUAGACAUUGUUAAUGUUGUAAAUUACUAUUGUAGCUGGAAACAGCAGAUCGUUUUUUAAUGGAAUAUCUACAUAGGCGUAAAGAGGCCCAUUAUCAGCAACCAUCACAUCUGUGUUCCAAUGGCGCGUUGUUAUCUAAUCCAAGUUUAUCAUUUUAAAAGGCUAAUUGAUCAUUAGAAAACCCUUUUGCAAUUAUGUUAGCAAAGCUGAAAACUGUUGUACUGAUUAAAAAAGCAAUACAACUGGCAUUCUUUAGACUAGUUCAGUGUCUGGAGCAUCAGCAUUUGUGGGUUUGAUUACAGGCUCAAAAUGGCCAGAAACAAAGUACUUUCUUCUGAAAUUCAUCAGUCUAUUCUUGUUCUGAGAAAUUAAGGCUAUUCCAUGCAAGAAAUUGCCAAGAAACUGAAGAUCUCGUACAACGCUGUGUACUACUCCCUUCACAGAACAGCACAAACUAGCCUCGCUACUUUUAUAGCCUCGCUACUGUAUAUAGCCUGUCUUUUUACUGUUGUUUUAUUUAUUUACUUAACCUAUUGUUUACCUAAUACCUUUUUUGCACUAUUGGUUAGAGCCUGUAAGUAAGCAUUUCACUGUAUGGUCUACACCUGUUGUAUUCGGUGCACAUGACAAAUAAACUUUGAUUUGAUUUGAAACUGUAUAUAACCAGAAUAGAAAGAGUAGGAUGCCCUGGUGCACAGCUGAGCAAGAGGACAAGUACAUUAGAGUGUCUAGUUUGAGAAACAGACGCCUCACAAGUCCUCAACUGGCAGCUUCGUUAAAUCGUACCCGCAAAACACCAGUCUCAACGUCCACAGUGAAGAGGCGAGUACAGGAUGCUGGCCUUCUAGGCAGAGUAUCUCAGACUGGUCAAUAAAAAGAAAAGAUUAAGAUGGGCAGAAGAACAGACACGGGACAGAGGAACUCUGCCUAGAAGGCCAGCAUCCCGGAGUCGGCUCUUCGCUGUUGACAUUGAGACUGGUGUUUUGGAACACAGGAGUGAUGAUUAUGAGCCUCUGUACGUCUAUGUAGAUAUUCCAUUAAAAUUCAGCCGUUUCCAGCUACAAUAGUCAUUUUCAACAUUAACAAUGUCUACAUUGUAUUUCUGAACAAUUUGAUGUUAUUUUAAUGGACAAAAAAUGUGCUUUUCUUUCAAAAACGAGGACAUUUCUAAGUGAACCCAAACUUUUGAACGGUAAUGGACAUAUAGAGACUGUUUAGUGCCAAAAAUAAGGGGUUAAAUACAUGUAAAAUAAAAAUAAAAUAAAAACGUUUUAAUUAAAUACAUUAAUGUUUCCUGAUCUAUCUUGUAUCUCGCCGAUAUAGGACAGACAUUUCAGAACAAACUUCAUUUUAUUUAUUUACAUGGAACAACUAUCUGUUGUUCCAUGUAUUGAAUCUGUUACUCAAUGCGUUUGAAUGGGCUAAUAGCAGUAAGGCCCAAACUUGUUUUGUAUCAAAUAUUUUUUACAAUAUUUUUGGGGGAUACUUCAAGGGGUCUUAAAAUUCUAAAUCAAAUAGCGAAAUGAUCGUUGGUAUAACCUUCUUAAAACAAUUCCAUGUAGCUUUGUAGAACCCCCUCCCCCAUGACUGUACGUCACUUUGGAUAAAAGCGUCUGCUAAAUGGCGUUUAACUUAUUGUCAUAUUAUUUUGAUAAUGUUACUUAAUGUAAUAAGCUCUUCAGACUACUCUUUUUUUAAUGUUGACAUCAGUUAUAGCCAGGAAUAACAUACACGAUUGACUAGUGUUAAGUGUUGUCACAGAGAGAGGUCUAAGGAUGCAUUGAUGCUAUGGAACCUUUUAUUCCUGCAACUAUGAACAUUGAUUUUACAAUAAUUGUGGUCCUGUUGCACAGACGAGCUACUAUAACAGGAAGAAACUGAGUAACUGACACUCCAGAUGUUUUUAAAUGUUUGUUCUGUUUGAAUAAGGUUAGCUAUCACUAACAAGCAGUAGCUUGUUUCAUAUGGCCAGUAUUAAUAUGUUUACCGUUUAUUAUUGACAGUUUCUUUGCCAGUUCAUCUGAUAUUUCCUUUAUAUAUUCUGUACUACAGUAUAUGCUCACACUGUACAGAGCUGUGAAUGGGUAUGUGAACCCCUGCACUGUUUUCACAUAUUAAAAUGUUAAAUAUUUGUUUGAAUAAAAAAUUAUACAAUAUUGAGAUGUCUUGUGUUAAUAAGUAUGUGAACCCCUGAGUCAAUACUUGAUGAAAGCAAAAGUUCAAGUGUUGAUAGGGGACAGAAUGCGGUCGGACCAUCAAAUAAUUGGCAUAUACAGUGGGGCAAAAGAGUAUUUAGUCAGCCACCAAUUGUGCAAGCUCUCCCACUUAAAAAGAUGAGAGAGGCCUGUAAUUUUCACCAUAGGUACACUUCAACUAUGACAGACAAAAUGAGGGAAAAAAAUCCAGAAAAUCACAUUGUAACAUGGACUUUCAACUCCCUCCAAAGAUUUUCUAUGGGGUUGAGAUCUGGAGACUGGCUAGGCCACUCCAGGACCUUGAAAUGCUUCUUACGAAGCCACUCCUUCGUUGCCCGGGAGGUGUGUUUGGGAUCAUUGUCAUGCUGAAAGACCCAGCCACGUUUCAUCUUCAAUGCCCUUGCUGAUGGAAGGAGGUUUUCACUCAAAAUCUCACGAUACAUGGCCCCAUUCAUUCUUUCCUUUACACGGAUCAGUCGUCCUGGUCCCUUUGCAGAAAAACAGCCCCAAAGCAUGAUGUUUCCAGCCCCAUGCUUCACAGUAGGUAUGGUGUUCUUUGGAUGCAACUCAGCAUUCUUUGUCCUCCAAACACGACGAGUUGAGUUUUUACCAAAAAGUUAUAUUUUGCUUUCAUCUGACCAUAUGACAUUCUCCCAAUCUUCUUCUGGAUCAUCCAAAUGCUCUCUAGCAAACUUCAGACGGGCCUGGACAUGUACUGGCUUAAGCAGGGGGACACGUCUGGCACUGCAGGAUUUGAGUCCCUGGCGGCGUAGUGUGGUACUGA